UAAAACUCUGUUGUUGGAGAAGAAUGGUCGGCAGAGUAACUGUUGCCGGCGUGACGGUAUCCAACCAGAAAGCCACGGCUAACUACGUGCCAGCAGCCGCGGUAAUACGUAGGUGGCAAGCGUUAUCCGGAUUUAUUGGGCGUAAAGCGAGCGCAGGCGGUUUUUUAAGUCUGAUGUGAAAGCCCUCGGCUUAACCGAGGAAGUGCAUCGGAAACUGGGAAACUUGAGUACAGAAGAGGACAGUGGAACUCCAUGUGUAGCGGUGAAAUGCGUAGAUAUAUGGAAGAACACCAGUGGCGAAGGCGGCUGUCUGGUCUGUAACUGACGCUGAGGCUCGAAAGCAUGGGUAGCGAACAGGAUUAGAUACCCUGGUAGUCCAUGCCGUAAACGAUGAAUGCUAGGUGUUGGAGGGUUUCCGCCUUCAGUGCCGCAGCUAACGCAUUAAGCAUUCCGCCUGGGGAGUACGACCGCAAGGUUGAAACUCAAAGGAAUUGACGAGGGUCGAC
RNAcentral lists this ribosomal RNA (506 nucleotides) under uncultured Lactococcus sp. RNAcentral describes it as "bacterial SSU rRNA". It matches the Rfam family "Bacterial small subunit ribosomal RNA", at positions 426 to 924 of the family's 1533-position model. The record is from RNAcentral. Lineage: Bacteria; Bacillati; Bacillota; Bacilli; Lactobacillales; Streptococcaceae.